This 312-nucleotide ribosomal RNA is filed under the name uncultured bacterium. Its description in RNAcentral is "bacterial SSU rRNA". It matches the Rfam family "Bacterial small subunit ribosomal RNA", at positions 28 to 298 of the family's 1533-position model. The record is from RNAcentral.
GAUGAACGCUGGCGGCGUGCCUAAUACAUGCAAGUCGAACGCAUUGUGGUUGAAAUGAUAUGAAGAACUUGUUCAGAUUUGAUUUUUCAACAUUGCAAUGAGUGGCGAACGGGUGAGUAACACGUGGGAAACCUACCUCCUUAGCAGGGGAUAACAUUUGGAAACAAAUGCUAAUACCGUAUAAUAAUUAAAACCGCAUGGUUUUAGUUUAAAAGAUGGUCUUGCUAUCACUAAGAGAUGGUCCCGCGGUGUAUUAGUUAGUUGGUGAGGUAAAUGGCUCACCAAGACAAUGAUACAUAGCCGAGUUGAGAG